UACGUAGGGUGCGAGCGUUGUCCGGAAUUAUUGGGCGUAAAGAGCUCGUAGGCGGUUUGUCGCGUCGGCCGUGAAAACCUGCAGCUUAACUGUGGGCGUGCGGUCGAUACGGGCAUCACUGGAGUUCGGCAGGGGAGACUGGAAUUCCUGGUGUAGCGGUGAAAUGCGCAGAUAUCAGGAGGAACACCGGUGGCGAAGGCGGGUCUCUGGGCCGAUACUGACGCUGAGGAGCGAAAGCGUGGGGAGCAAACAGG
RNAcentral lists this ribosomal RNA (254 nucleotides) under uncultured bacterium. RNAcentral describes it as "partial 16S ribosomal RNA". It matches the Rfam family "Bacterial small subunit ribosomal RNA", at positions 524 to 776 of the family's 1533-position model. The record is from RNAcentral.